Molecule: ribosomal RNA, 375 nt
Filed under: uncultured Thermus sp.
Lineage: Bacteria; Thermotogati; Deinococcota; Deinococci; Thermales; Thermaceae
Description: bacterial SSU rRNA
Rfam family: Bacterial small subunit ribosomal RNA
Source: RNAcentral
GGGUGCCCCGCGAGGGGAGCCCUAGCACAGGUGCUGCAUGGCCGUCGUCAGCUCGUGCCGUGAGGUGUUGGGUUAAGUCCCGCAACGAGCGCAACCCCCGCCGUUAGUUGCCAGCGGUUCGGCCGGGCACUCUAACGGGACUGCCCGCGAAAGCGGGAGGAAGGAGGGGACGACGUCUGGUCAGCAUGGCCCUUACGGCCUGGGCGACACACGUGCUACAAUGCCCACUACAAAGCGAUGCCACCCGGCAACGGGGAGCUAAUCGACAAAAAGGUGGGCCCAGUUCGGAUUGGGGUCUGCAACCCGACCCCAUGAAGCCGGAACCGCUAGUAAUCGCGGAUCAGCCAUGCCGCGGUGAAUACGUUCCCGGGCCUU